GCCUGCUAGGGGGCGGGUCUAUUUUUGUCGUUUCUCCUCCCCUUGGAGGGGGAGAUCGGAGAUAUCGAUUUAAAUGCAAUAGUUUUGAAACAAUUGAUUAACAGACGAAGUUUCCCGGUGUGUCACGCUGUCAGUCCUGUGGUCCGUGAGUUGUCGUGGACUUUUAUUUUGAACUAGUGUUUCUCUUCUUAUCGCCAAUUGCUUAACUAAUUUCGUUCUUUUACCAGAUCGCGAGUCUAUCUUUGGAAAUUUUGGUUAAAUUCUUUUUGGUAUGCUAAUCUGCUCAGAGAUUUUAACAGAAUUUAACCAAAAUUUCCAAAAUAGGCUCAGGAUCUGGU
Long non-coding RNA from Daphnia pulicaria, 338 nucleotides. RefSeq lists it as uncharacterized. The record is from RefSeq and is a predicted model, not a curated record. The transcript is spliced from 2 exons. Lineage: Eukaryota; Metazoa; Arthropoda; Branchiopoda; Diplostraca; Daphniidae.